This 296-nucleotide long non-coding RNA is filed under the name Mytilus galloprovincialis (Mediterranean mussel). Lineage: Eukaryota; Metazoa; Mollusca; Bivalvia; Mytilida; Mytilidae. The record is from RNAcentral.
GGGGGGGGGUCUGAUCCCUGAUCCCGCUUACUGCUUUAUCAGAUUCCCGUAUCCCGCUUAUACUAUGCAGUUCUCAUUUUUUUAAAUUUUCCGUGUCCCGCUAUACUUUAUUUCUCGUUUUCACGACACAAUCAUUUGACUAUCACGUGUCACGCUUACAAAAAAAUCGGCAAUUCCGCGUCACGCUUAUACCCCAACGCGACCCACUAUUCUACUCUUUUCUGACUCAUAUUAAGCCCAUUAUAAAUAUAUUAAAAAAGUGUGUUUUUUAUCCCUUUUUAUCCCGUCUCGUUUCG